Molecule: long non-coding RNA, 884 nt
Filed under: Homo sapiens (human)
Lineage: Eukaryota; Metazoa; Chordata; Mammalia; Primates; Hominidae
Description: HSALNT0329896
Source: RNAcentral
CAUUUAGUAAUUUAGACUUUGAAGCCAUUGGAAGAAUCUUAAUUAAACCUUUUUUAGGCAUGAAAAAAUAGCUAUUACAGUGCUUGCAAAACCUAUCUUUCGCUUGGCUCAUGCGUUAUUAGGAUGAUGCUUAAAUUAUUAUUUUUUAAUGUAACUGUGUCUCCUUUAUUAAGAAAUGUUGACUAGACAAGUGAUCUGUCCAAAUUUAAAACUAGAAAUAGAACCUUUAUCUCCCACCCUGUCUGAAUUAUUCUUUCCAUAUGUAGCUGCUUAGUUGUGUCUUUACCACUAAUUAACCAUGUGAACUCUAAGCAAGUUAUUUUACUUUUCUUCAUCUUUUUAUCUUUUGUAAAAUUAGGGGGUUAUUAUGAAUCAUUUCUAACAUCUCUGCUAAUGCCCCAGAUACUGUAAAUGACCCAGAAUGUAAUUGCGGGCAGUGUUAACUUAGCUUCCUAGAAGAUGGGGGAUAUGACUGGGCCUUGAAUAAAAUCCAAGAUUUGGCAGAGUAGAGAGGGAAAGAAUUCAUGAGAUGGGGAGCAGUAGAACAAAGGCUUAGGUGUGAAUAUGUGGCUGUAGUAAAGAGAAAUGGCCUGAUUAUAGCAAUUAUAUGAGGUUUAGUAGAACCAUUUAAGAAAGGUAAAGCCACUUCAUAGAAAUUAUUUUAUCCCUGACUUCCUUUCCUCUGAGGUACCCUUUUUCUUUCCUUUAUUUUCUUUUUGAAGUGGGUACUCCAACUCUACACAACGCCUGUGUAGGCUGCAGGCACCAAUAAGUGGUGAUGUCAGAAUCUAGUUUGUUUCUCUGUAAAUGCUAGAUGAAAUGUUGAUUCAAUUGCUGUUGUCUUUGGGCCAUUCCUUGAAAAUGGAAGGGAAAGUUCUUCUGUG